Molecule: ribosomal RNA, 488 nt
Filed under: uncultured bacterium
Lineage: Bacteria
Description: partial 16S ribosomal RNA
Source: RNAcentral
GUAGUUAGCCGGGGCUUCCUCCUUGGCUACCGUCACUUUCUUCGUCACCAAGGACAGAGGUUUACAAUCCGAAGACCUUCUUCCCUCACGCGGCGUUGCUGGGUCAGGCUUGCGCCCAUUGCCCAAUAUUCCCCACUGCUGCCUCCCGUAGGAGUCUGGACCGUGUCUCAGUUCCAGUGUGGCCGAUCAGCCUCUCAGCUCGGCUACCCAUCGUUGGCUAGGUGGGCCGUUACCCCGCCUACUACCUAAUGGGACGCGAACCCCUCCUUCUGCGGAUUGCUCCUUUGACCCCUGAGCCAUGCGACUCUGUGGUCUUAUGCGGUAUUAGCACUUGUUUCCAGGUGUUAUCCCCCUCAAAAGGGCAGGUUGUUCACGCGUUACUCACCCGUUCGCCACUAGCUAUAAAUCCGAAAACCUAUAGCCCGUUCGACUUGCAUGUGUUAGGCACGCCGCCAGCGUUCGUCCUGAGCCACGAAUCAAACUACUGA